AGGGUUCGAUUCUGGCUCAGGAUGAACGCUAGCGACAGGCUUAACACAUGCAAGUCGAGGGGCAUCACGGGAGUAGCAAUACAACUGGUGGCGACCGGCGCACGGGUGAGUAACGCGUAUGCAACCUACCUAUCAGAGGGGAAUAACCCGGCGAAAGUCGGACUAAUACCGCAUAAAACAGGGGCACCGCAUGGUGAUAUUUGUUAAAGAAAUUCGCUGAUAGAUGGGCAUGCGUUCCAUUAGGUAGUUGGUGAGGUAACGGCUCACCAAGCCGACGAUGGAUAGGGGAACUGAGAGGUUGGUCCCCCACACUGGUACUGAGACACGGACCAGACUCCUACGGGAGGCAGCAGUGAGGAAUAUUGGUCAAUGGGCGGGAGCCUGAACCAGCCAAGUCGCGUGAAAGGAAGAAGGAUCUAUGGUUCGUAAACUUCUUUUGCAGGGGAAUAAAGUGCAGGACGUGUCCUGUUUUGUAUGUACCCUGAGAAUAAGGAUCGGCUAACUCCGUGCCAGCAGCGGC
RNAcentral lists this ribosomal RNA (520 nucleotides) under uncultured bacterium. Its description in RNAcentral is "bacterial SSU rRNA". It matches the Rfam family "Bacterial small subunit ribosomal RNA", at positions 8 to 518 of the family's 1533-position model. The record is from RNAcentral.